RNAcentral lists this ribosomal RNA (200 nucleotides) under uncultured bacterium. RNAcentral's name for it is "partial 16S ribosomal RNA". It matches the Rfam family "Bacterial small subunit ribosomal RNA", at positions 1303 to 1500 of the family's 1533-position model. The record is from RNAcentral.
GUCUGCAACUCGACUACAUGAAGCUGGAAUCGCUAGUAAUCGCGAAUCAGAAUGUCGCGGUGAAUACGUUCCCGGGUCUUGUACACACCGCCCGUCACACCAUGGGAGUCAGUAACGCCCGAAGCCGGUGACCCAACCGAAAUCGGAGGGAGCCGUCGAAGGUGGGACCGAUAACUGGGGUGAAGUCGUAACAAGGUAAC